This 339-nucleotide unclassified non-coding RNA is filed under the name soil metagenome. Its description in RNAcentral is "partial contains 5.8S ribosomal RNA, internal transcribed spacer 2, and large subunit ribosomal RNA". The stretch from base 1 to 120 matches the Rfam family "5.8S ribosomal RNA", at positions 35 to 154 of the family's 154-position model. The record is from RNAcentral.
GAUGAAGAACGCAGCGAAAUGCGAUACGUAGUGUGAAUUGCAGAAUUCAGUGAAUCAUCGAAUCUUUGAACGCACAUUGCACCUCUCGGUAUUCCGGGAGGUAUGCCUGUUCGAGCGUCAUUUGUACCCUCAAGCUCUGCUUGGUGUUGGGUGUUUGUUCCGCCUCUGUGUGUGAACUCGCCUCAAAACAAUUGGCAGCCGGCGUACUUGUUUCGGAGCGCAGCACAUUUUGCGAUCCAGAUCAACGUACAGCGGCAUCCAAGAAGCCUUAUUUAACGCUCUUGACCUCGGAUCAGGUAGGGAUACCCGCUGAACUUAAGCAGAUCAAUAAGCGGAGGA